Molecule: ribosomal RNA, 417 nt
Filed under: uncultured bacterium
Lineage: Bacteria
Description: bacterial SSU rRNA
Rfam family: Bacterial small subunit ribosomal RNA
Source: RNAcentral
UAUUGGUCAAUGGACGAGAGUCUGAACCAGCCAAGUAGCGUGAAGGAUGACUGCCCUAUGGGUUGUAAACUUCUUUUAUAUGGGAAUAAAGUGAGCCACGUUUGGCUUCUUUUAUGUACCAUAAGAAUAAGGAUUGGCUAACUCCGUGCCAGCAGCCGCGGUAAUACGGAGGAUCCGAGCGUUAUCCGGAUUUAUUGGGUUUAAAGGGAGCGUAGGCGGAUUAUUAAGUCAGUUGUGAAAGUUUGCGGCUCAACCGUAAAAUUGCAGUUGAUACUGGUAGUCUUGAGUGCAGCAGAGGUAGGCGGAAUUCGUGGUGUAGCGGUGAAAUGCUUAGAUAUCACGAAGAACUCCGAUUGCGAAGGCAGCUUACUGGACUGUAACUGACGCUGAUGCUCGAAAGUGUGGGUAUCAAACAGG